Molecule: long non-coding RNA, 4958 nt
Organism: Passer domesticus (house sparrow)
Lineage: Eukaryota; Metazoa; Chordata; Aves; Passeriformes; Passeridae
Exons: 3
Source: RefSeq, a predicted model, not a curated record
GGAGAGGGAGAGAAGAGGAAUAGGCAGGGCAAAGUGCACAAAGGCUGCUACAACAGGAUUUAGAUGUCACCAAAAGCCACUACCUGCACAGCAUAUAAGCAACUACCUAAAACAGAAACUAUUUCUGGAAUUGUAGCUGCUGAAUAAGAAGCCCUGGAAGACUAAACUGUAUUUGAUAAUGAGGUCACAGAUGAGGAGUGGAGAGAGGAAAGGGAGGGUAUUCAUGUGUGGGUAGGACAAAGAGGAAACUUUUGCACUGGUUCCUGUGGUUUAGAAGUAGCAAGAAAAGUAAACCUGUUGAAAAUGGACAUAGGUACUCUCAAUCCCUGUUGCUCUCAAUCUCAAUACAAAACUGACACUUGCAUGAAUACAUAGAGGUUUUUUAUUUGAAAUUAUAAAAUUCUUCCAAAACAAAAUUUUUCCCAGUUUUCCCAAUUAGUCUAGUACCUAUUGCAUCAUCUGUAAAUCUGUUUAGAGUGUGUCUUUCAUGCUCAAAAAAAAGUCAAUUUAAACUGCUUCAUCCAAAGGCAAUGAACUAUUUUAUUUGUGCCAAGCCGUAUAUACAAGAUGCUGAAUUCCUUCAAUAUUCUGUAAUAUCACUGGAGUCAGGCUGGAGCCCCUGGCAAGGAUAGUACCAGGAAUACAUGAAGAUGGCAAGCAGUCUGUCUAUAACAGUUCAGUCCUUCAUCUUUGGCCACCUUUGGGACUUAUGUCUAUAAAAAUUUCAGUAGGUUGGAGAAGUAACACUACUGAGUAUCUCUUUAGUGAGAAUCUCCCCAGAAAACACAGUCAGUCCUAUGGCCACUGCUGAAAAUGUGUGGACAGGAUGUGCUAGCAGUCCAGGGUUGGAGAGCUGAGGGAACAGCUCUGCUUCCUUUCACAGAGAAUCUGAGCAAGAAUUUGGACAAGCUUCCUCAGUGACAGCAAGUAAUAUGUCCAGAUUUAUCUUCAGAAUAAGAAAAAACUUAAUUAUCCCAUGCAGAUAAUAUUGCAAAAUAGUUCUGUAAUUAGGAUUAAUUAGAAGGAAUAAGCACUCUGUGUCAAAAAUAACCAGGACAAUAUAAUCAUUUAGUGAUUUAGGUUUUGCCCUUUUCCCAUAUUCUUCAUUGUUUCUGUCUCUUUUUGUGUAUUUAUGUGCUCAACUUUCAUGGUACUCUUUGGUGGAUUUUUGGGGCAAUGUAAGGAAAGACCUUAGUGUCUGUUGUAUGUUAGGACUUGAUGAUCUUAGCAGUCUUUUCCAAACUUUAUAAUUCCAUGAUUCUCUGUAUUGGCUGAAAGACAACUGAGAAGUUGUUAAUUUAAAGUUGGGUCCUGUAUCAGUCAGUCUUUCCAAAAGUGAGAUGUCAUGUUUGAGACCAUACUACAGACCAAGGACUUGGAUGCAGCAAUGGCUCAGAGGCCGAGGACAUUUGCACAGACACAACAACGGGUAUUUGGGGACUCUGGACACAGACAUGCAUCAAAACAUGUGGAAACACAUGAGGUCUCUUUAGGAACUAUUCUUAAUCAAUUCACAGGAUUGGUAUAGUCACUGAUCAGCCAGGUGGACAAGCUUAAUUUAAAAAUUGCUAGAAAACCAAGAUAAAGCUGCUGAGUAGGAGGAGCUGAUCCAAUGUAUCGCUAACCUGAGUCUGGGCUAUGCUGACUUUUAAUGGGCUUUUUCAUAAGUUGUUUUAAACACUAUAAAGCAAAGGGGCAGAGAUUUGCAGACAAGUGUGAAAAGCACAGUAAAUAAUCUAGUGAAGUUAGAGUGUAGAAAGAUAAACAAAUUGAUAGAACAUUUUUUCAGUAAAAUUGUUUUAAAAUAAUUACUUCUUUUUAUUCAAAUGGUAGAGUGUGAGCACUGUAAAAGUCUUUGGAAGUCUAAACUUGAUUUUUGGCAUGGUUUUCUAAAGUAAUGAAGAUUAUGUUGUUGGUCUACUGUCUUUUCAGUAUGUUUUGAGAAGAUCGGUUGAUUUGUACCACCAUUAGAAAGGCAGAGAGUUAAACUUGAGCUGAUUUAGUGUUUGUUUGGGCUUUUUUCAGUUGACACCUUUAUUAUACUAGAACAUAUAGAAUAUUAUCCUAGAAUAUUAUACCGGGCUUCACUCCUUUAAAACAGAAAGAACCAGAUAUACAGAUAUCUAAAGAGAGUGUGUGAUUGUCCAAUUAUGCUUGUAUAAGUUAUAAGCCUAUAUAAACUAUUGAGAUUUAAACUAUCUUAAAACUGUAAACUAUGUUUAUAAUUACAACUAUAUAAUUAUACAGAUUUUCAUAAUAAAUUUAAAUAUUAGCAUGAUCUGAUAAAUGCUAGAACAUUUUAACAGGUUCCAGGUAGCUGAAAGACUAGAUGGAACUUUCUAGAAGGUUGUGUCUUCUUUUUCUGUGUUCUCCAGUGCUAUGUUGAAGCUUUGCAGACCUUAUUUGUGUUUUUCACUCACUGCAUUACUUCUUAUCAUGUUAUGGGGGCAUAAUAAUUUCUGCAUCUGAACAAGCAAAACAUUAAAUCCCCUCACUUUACUGUUAGUUUACCACACUGAAUUACAGCCAGAAGAAGGGGUUUACUCACAGUUGCAGAUAUCUUAAUGCAGAGUGUGGAACAGACAUCAGAUCUUUUGAGUCACAACCCAACUAAAACUAUUUUGGCAAUCUAGCUCAAUGUAAAAACUGUACAGCAUUGCUGAUAAGAUUACUGAUGAAUGUUUGGAAGCAAAAGGUAAUAUUUGGAAAACUGAACAGCAUUUCUAAGGUUACAUUCCUGACCUCAUAAGCAGAACAGUCAAAGUAUUAGGGCUGCAGUUAUAUUUCUUUAAGGGGAUGGGCCCACACCCAUCAUAGUCUGAUAGCUGUGAUUUCUGAGCGUGGCAUCACUGGUGCCACCUCCCAGCAGGACCACCCCACACUGCACCACAUCAGUCUGGAGACACUGCACCUCAGAGAGAUUAGAACUGAUCUGGUCUCAGGGACAAAGAGACAGCUCUGGAAAGGGAUCCUGAGAUCCAGGGAAGAGCAGGAUUCUCUCUGUAAGUAGCCAACUCCCUCCUUAAAAAAUCCAAAGAAUUUCCUGGAAAAAAGUCAUAUGACUUCCAAAAUAGAGUCAAGUAAAAACACCUUCAGCUUUACCAUACCUCACUCCUCUGUAUGCCUUCAUUGAUGUUUUGGUGGAUUAUUUCAGGUCAUUGGAAGAAAGCCAGAACUUAUGUCUGAGAAUUUUCUGAGAAAUGGACCUGUUAUAGGUUCCCAGAAUCAUGUGCAAGGCACAAAUGCAGACUGACAUGGUGGGCCACGAGCAGCCUCACUCUGGAGCACAGACCCCACUGCAGGAUACCCCUUCCCCACAGGAGAGGACCUGAAGCUGUCCAUGGCAAAGUUCAUGCUUCCCUACAACAGAGCAGAGACACCACCAUCUAGGUCUGAAGGGAAGGAGACUCUACAGCCUCUGUGGUCCUCAUGUUCCUGUGCUCAAUCACUCUCACAUCAGUGCAAUGAAGUUUAUUGUGAUGUGAAUGAUAAAGAGGUUUGACUAGCUGCAGAAGAUUUGUAUUGGAUCUGUGUAUGACUCUCUUCAGUUAAGAACAGGAAGACUGAAAUACCCUAAGUAUCCAGCCAAACCAAAAAGCUUCUUGUGCAAUUACUUGAACAAGACGGUAACCAGCCUUCCUUUAUGUACUCAGAAAGGAUUGAUAUUCCCAAUGUUAAGGCAGGCAGCAUAAAAUCUCCUAAUAAUCCUAGUAUGCUAGAUUUUACUGUUUUGAUUGGUUGGUUGGGUUGGGUUUUGGGGUUUUUUUUACUGUUGUUUUUUGUUGGUUUGGGGUUUUUUUGUUUGGUUUGGUUUGGUUUGGUUUGGUUUGGUUUGGUUUGGUUUGAUUUUGGUGGACGUUCUUUAGUUUGGCUUGGUUUGGGUUUUGGGGUUUUGGGUUUUUGUUUGGCUUGGUUUGGUUUGGUUUAAUUUUGGUGGAGAUUCUUUAGUUUGUCUUGGUUUGGGUUUUGGGGUUUUGUUUGGUUGGUUGGUUUGGUUUGGUUGUUGGGUUUUUUGUUUUUAUUUGGGAUUUUUUGUUAUUUAUUUCGUGCACCAGGACUCUUUUAAUCAUCUGCUGUUCUUCUUUUUAUACUUUCCAAAAAAAAAAAGAGAAGCAGCUAGGGUAUUUUAUACAGAAAGAGUGAAUGAAGAGAUGUAUGAUACAGCCUUAUUCCCUUUGCACCUUAGAACUCAACAGAGUAAUACUUUCUCUCUGUGUAUUAACUUCUUCCACCUUCAGCCACAAAGUGUUUCAUUGCUUCUCACUUGAAGUCUACACUGUAGGACUGUUGCCCCCUUCUUUAAGUACCUAAAAACUGAUUAUAGCUAAAUACCACAAGGACUGCUAUUACUGGAGUGCAAGCUGUCCCCAGACAACUCCUGCAGAAGAAAUAAGUUUUAAACAUGAAAAUGCAGAAUGAAACAAAAGGUGUAGAAAAGAUUACCAAAUUCAGACAUGCUUCAAAUGUUCCCCACAUCCUCUAAAAUGCAUGUAUCAGAGGUAGGGAGAAGUUUCAGUUCUGUUUGCAGCAGUCAAAUUCUUUUCCACAAUCCAGACUGUCCCAACAUUUACAUCCACUUUUCAGCCCUGAGUGCUCCCCAUUCUCUCCAGAGAUCAGCUUAGCACAAUGUCAGGGACUUUGCACAUUGUCAAUGGCAGAUACAAGUGCCAUUGGCACUGCAUUGGAACUACAGAAGACCUUUCCAUGUAGAAGACCACACUGGAAACACACAAAACCAUAUGUUUCCCCUUCUUUCACGUUUCAGCAUGUUAACAGAGCCAUGCAUCAGAGAAGUGCUGCAAGAAAUCAGAGUGAUCACACAGAAGUCAAACCCAUUCCAGCCAUAGCUAAUGAAGAAUACCUAUUGACAGUGUUAGGAAUAUUAGUAAUUCGUGAAGAUAAAUAGUAUAUAAAUAUAUAUAUGUGAACUGGGGAGAGAAAAAAGGGGCGGGGGGAAU